GAACGCACAUUGCGCCCAUUAGUAUUCUAGUGGGCAUGCCUGUUCGAGCGUCAUUUAAGUCCAUUAAGCCUAGUUGCUUAGCGUUGGGAGCAUUACCGUACGGUAACUCCUCAAAGUCAGUGGCAGGGUUGCAGGUGCACUCUUAGCGUAGUAGAUUUAUUACCGCUUACGAUUGUCCCGUAGCCGUCGCCAUAAGCCUAUAUUUUUUAUUGGUUGACCUCGGAUCAGGUAGGAAUACCCGCUGAACUUAAG
This 252-nucleotide unclassified non-coding RNA is filed under the name Virgaria nigra. RNAcentral describes it as "sequence contains 5.8S rRNA gene". The stretch from base 1 to 53 matches the Rfam family "5.8S ribosomal RNA", at positions 102 to 154 of the family's 154-position model. Lineage: Eukaryota; Fungi; Ascomycota. The record is from RNAcentral.